Molecule: ribosomal RNA, 517 nt
Filed under: uncultured bacterium
Lineage: Bacteria
Description: bacterial SSU rRNA
Rfam family: Bacterial small subunit ribosomal RNA
Source: RNAcentral
AGAACUUAGCAGAGAUGCUUUGGUGCCUUCGGGAACUCUGAGACAGGUGCUGCAUGGCUGUCGUCAGCUCGUGUUGUGAAAUGUUGGGUUAAGUCCCGCAACGAGCGCAACCCUUAUCCUUUGUUGCCAGCGGCUCGGCCGGGAACUCAAAGGAGACUGCCGGCGAUAAACCGGAGGAAGGUGGGGAUGACGUCAAGUCAUCAUGGCCCUUACGGCCAGGGCUACACACGUGCUACAAUGGCGCAUACAAAGAGAAGCGACCUCGCGAGAGCAAGCGGACCUCAUAAAGUGCGUCGUAGUCCGGAUUGGAGUCUGCAACUCGACUCCAUGAAGUCGGAAUCGCUAGUAAUCGUAGAUCAGAAUGCUACGGUGAAUACGUUCCCGGGCCUUGUACACACCGCCCGUCACACCAUGGGAGUGGGUUGCAAAAGAAGUAGGUAGCUUAACCUUCGGGAGGGCGCUCACCACUUUGUGAUUCAUGACUGGGGUGAAGUCGUAACAAGGUAGGCGUAGCGAG